GAUGAACGCUGGCGGCGUGCCUAACACAUGCAAGUCGAACGGAGUAUAUAUUAUGAAGUUUUCGGAUGGAUUAAUAUAAACUUAGUGGCGGACGGGUGAGUAACGCGUGGGUAACAUGCCUCAUACAGGGGGAUAACAGCUGGAAACGGCCGCUAAAACCGCAUAACAUUGCGACAUCGCAUGGUGAUGCAAUUAAAUGUUUAUAAGUAUGAGACUGGCCCGCGACUGAUUAGCUAGUUGUGGAGGUAAUGGCUCACCAAGGCGACGAUAAGUAGCCGGCCUGAGAGAGUUACCGGCCACAUUGGGAAUGAGACACGGGCCAAACUCCUACAGGAGGCAGCAGUGGGGAAUAUUGCACCAUGGGGGAAACCCUGAUGCAGCGACGCCGCGUGAGUGAAGAAGUAUUUCGGUAUGUAAAGCUCUAUCAGCAGGGAAGAAAAUGACGGUACCUGACGAAGAAGCCCCGGCUAACUACGUGCCAGACGCCGCAGUAA
RNAcentral lists this ribosomal RNA (494 nucleotides) under uncultured bacterium. Its description in RNAcentral is "partial 16S ribosomal RNA". It matches the Rfam family "Bacterial small subunit ribosomal RNA", at positions 28 to 523 of the family's 1533-position model. The record is from RNAcentral.